RNAcentral lists this ribosomal RNA (252 nucleotides) under uncultured bacterium. Its description in RNAcentral is "partial 16S ribosomal RNA". It matches the Rfam family "Bacterial small subunit ribosomal RNA", at positions 524 to 776 of the family's 1533-position model. The record is from RNAcentral.
UACGUAGGGGGCAAGCGUUAUCCGGAUUCACUGGGCGUAAAGGGAGCGCAGGCGGCAUGGCAAGUCUGAUGUGAAAACCCGGGGCCCAACCCCGGGAGUGCAUUGGAAACUGCCAGGCUGGAGUGUCGGUGGGUAAGCGGAAUUCCUAGUGUAGCGGUGAAAUGCGUAGAUAUUAGGAGGAACACCAGUGGCGAAGGCGGCUUACUGGACGGCAACUGACGCUGAGGCUCGAAAGCGUGGGGAGCAAACAGG